Molecule: unclassified non-coding RNA, 431 nt
Filed under: Hevea brasiliensis (rubber tree)
Lineage: Eukaryota; Viridiplantae; Streptophyta; Magnoliopsida; Malpighiales; Euphorbiaceae
Source: RNAcentral
AGAAAGCAAAGACCUUCAGCAAAAGGUUGCAGAAAUGAGCUUACAGACUGGAGUUCCAUCUGAAUAUACCCAUAUGAUUUUGCAUAAGACUGACAAAGGGGACAAAGCACCACAACCAAUUCUGAUGCAGGAGGUAUUCAACAAAAUUAACUCGCUUAGACAAGUGGAUUCAGAAAGUCAGAAUGUCAUUUUCUUGCGGAACCUAGGUGUUGGCUUUGGCAAUUUGAGUGCAACAGCAGCAAACAUUCCUCCUGGAACAGAGCAAAUAAAGUCACCUGAAGCUACAGAAUUGCUGGUUAAGGCUGCUUCCAAUUGUUGCAGUAGGCUGGUCGACAGGUGCUGUUGCAGGUGCUUCAUCCAGGCUUGUACAUACAUGAAUGGGCAGUGCUACAUUGUCCUCUCGCAACUCUGUGUUGCCCUCGCUUGCUUUC